AUCCUCUUUCCUGUCAACACUUGAAUGGGACAAGUCACCAGCUCAGAAGUCUCAGGACCAGCGACAUCAAGAGCAGGAAGUGGCCAGUGCCUCAACUUCACUCCCCUCUCCCUCCUGGAACAGGCCCUCCAUCACCGUAGAUAAUUCAUGUCACUGAAUGGAACAUAGGUGAGAAGUGGGAGAAAGAACGAAAAUCUGGAGGUUGGAGGAUAAACAAACCCACAUCCUUGUGGAUGAAGAAGGAUACCAAAAACUCAUUUUCCUGGAAGGAGCAAUUUUUGAAAUCAGCUACACUGAGGCUGCAGAUUGAGUGAAGGUCUUUUCCAUGUGAAUUUGUCCUGCAUCUGGGAUAAAGGUAUAAUGAUUACCUAAAGCAUGUUCUGUUCAUGGAAGAUCACUGGAACACAAAAGACCAAGCUCACAGCAUAUUCAAGACAUCUGCUCGUAUUCCACUGGCCAAAGAAAGUGAUGUGGCCCAGCCUAAAGUCAGGAACAGGAGCAGGAGGCUUUGACAACUGAGAUCUUCGAUCAUGAGUGUUGUGAAUGCAGACGGGGUUUUGUACUCCAGGCACUGUGCUAGGCACCAGGACUAUAAUACAACUUGUGAUCUGUAGAGGAGUCAGACAAUUAUCCAGGCAUCCCAAAGAAAUGUCAAUUGCAAGCCUGGAUCCCUUUUUCCCUGGAGGCUGUUCUGAAGAUGGCACCCUACCUGCUCACCUUUUAGUGUACCUGGGCACCCAUGCCUCCAUAUGGUGACCCUCAAAUCAUACUGUAUGAAGAGCAGCUGUUUUGUCAACUAUUUUUUAAUGAGAUUUUUUUUGCUUUGGUUUAAAAAAUAGCAUAUAUUUGCGUUAGAAAAUUAGAAAUACAGAAGAAACAGAAAUAUAAAAGAAUUACCUAUAACAUGCAAAAAUGACUAGUACAAAUGUUUUUGUUUUUUUACAGUAUGUGAACAUAUUGUAUGUUUAUAUUAAUAUCCAUAGUAUUUAUUUUUGCCUACAUGUUUUACUUAACAUAUGUAGUAAGCAUUUCCCAUGUUAGUCAAAUUAUUUGUGGACAUUAUUUUUAAUGACUAUUAAUGUUAUUACUCUACAGCUUGCCGAAUAAGUCUCCUAUUAUAUGUCAUUUUGGGUCCUAGCAACAUUUUUGUGUUUAAAUCCUUGUAGCAGUUUUGACUGAUUUCCUUAAGAUAGAGUCCAAGAAGAGAAAUAAUUUGCUUGUUUGUUUAUCAUUUGGUACUUUCUUUUAUGGUAAUGUCCUUGGGGCUGAUAAUUCAGAACCAUGAAUAGAUAUGAUUCUUGUCUUUGAGGAGAUUGUAGCCUUGUGCUAGGUUAAAGAAUAGGCACGUUUUAAAGUUCUCGAUACACAUUUUCAAAGUGCUUUUCAAAAAUUUGUAUCAAUUCAUCCUUCUACUAUAAGGGAAAAUCUGUUCUGGGUUGUUUUUCUGGUAUAUCUUCCUAUUAAGAACCUGUUCUCCCUCCUGCUUUGUGACUCACAUGGAGUUGCCACUGCAUGCUAUCAUCUCCAUCCCUUAGAGCAACCUAUUAGAGAACUUACUCUCUGGAGUCCCAAAAGAGAAACAACAGCAACAACUCAGCAAUUCAUCUGGGGUCAGCGUGUUACCCAGUCUGGGCCAUUGGAGAUUUUUUUAAAGGGAAGUUUCUCCUAUUUUCUUCAAAAUUCUGAGCUGUGAAGAGGACCACUAGAAAGUUCAAUCUAUUUAUGAUUUUUUAAAAAACUGUUAUUAUAUAUAUUUAAGUGUAUGUCAUGUUUCCACACAUAUAUACAUAGUGAAAUGAUCACUGUAAUCAAGCUAAUUAGAAUAUCCCCCAUCUCGCAUAGUCACCUUUGUGUGUGAAAAGGGUUCAGUGCUUCCCUCUCCACUCUUCAUCUCCCCUUUAAAAAAGCAGAGAUGAAUGGAGAGGGAAAGGUUGAACAAUGGUUAUGUGGUGGGACUGCUGGGAUUCACCUGAGAGUUAAAACCAGCUAGUUCUACCCGUAUGUUUUUCACUUAGAUAAGCCAACAAAUUAAUUUCUUUUCCUCUAUUCUUCUUGUCUUCUUUCCUGCCUCUUUACCUGUCUCCCUUCCUUCCUCUCUUCCCACUCUCUUUCUUUCCUUAUUUAAAUUGGUUUGAAUUGAGUUUCUGACACUAAUGGAGAGUCCUUAUUGUGCCUUCACGUUAUUUUUAUCAAACCAGAAAAUGUUAAUGACAUAAAACAAUUACUGUUUGGACAAGGAAAAUUGUAUUUCUUUCCUUGAAAUUUCUACACACAUACACAUUUGUGCUUGUUAGUGAGGCUAAGCAUUUUCCCCCUUAUUUGUGAAUUAUAUAUUCAAUGUUUUGAUCCAUUUAUCAAAUAAAUUCCUUAGUUUAAAAAAUAUUUGCAGGUGCGGUUAUUAUGGAAAGCAGCAUGAAGUUUCCUCUAAAUAUUAAAAAUAGAAUCACCACAUGACUCAGCAAUCCCUCCUCUCUAUAUAUUUUUAAAGGAAAUGAAAUCAGCACUUCAUGGAACUAUCUCCACUCCCGGCUGGGCGCAGUGGCUCACGCCUGUAAUCCCAGCACUUUGGAAGGCCAAGGCAGGUGGAUCACGAGGUCAAGAGAUGGAGACCAUCCUGGCCGACAUGGUGAAACCCUGCCUCUACUAAAAAUACAAAAAUUAGCUGGGCGGGGAGGCACAUGCCUGUAAUCCCAGCCACUCGGGAGGCUGAGACAGGAGAAUCGCUUCAACCUGGGAGGCGGAGGUUGCAGUGGCUGAGAUCGCACCACUGCAGUCCAACCUGGUGACAGAGGGAGACUCCAUCAAAAAAAAAAAAAAGAAAAAAAGAAAUAUCUCCACUCUUAUAGUCAUUGAAGCAUAAUUAACAAUAACCAAGCUAUGAAAUCAAUGUAAGUGCCCAUCAAUGGAUGAGUGGAUAAAGAAAAUGUUACACACACACACACACACACACACACACACACACAGUGGAAUUUCAUGUAGCCUUAAAAAAGAAGACGAUUUUGUUAUUUAUAACAUGCCUGAAUGUGGAGGACAUUAGGUUAAGUGAAAUAAGCCAGAAAGAAAAAUACUGCAUGAUCUUACUUAUAUGUGGAAUCUAAAAACGUCAAGUACAAAAAAGCAAAAAGUAGAAUAGUGGUUGCUGGGAUCUGGGGCUGAGAUUAUGAUGGGCAAAUGGGAAGAAAUUGAGUGCAGAGUUUUGAUUAGGAUCAAUAAGUCUAGAGAGCAAAUGUACAGCAUGAAGACUAUAGUUACUACUGGGUUGUAUACUGGAAAUUUGCUAAGAAAGUAGGUUGUAGGUCCUCUUACCAUACACACAUAUACAGGUAACUAUGCGAGAUGAUGGAUAUUCUAAUUAGAUUGACUGUAGUAAUCAUUUCACUAUGUAUGUGUAUGAAAACAUGACAUACACCUUAAAUAUAUAUAAUAACAUUAAAAAAACCCAAAAUCUUGAAAAGAUUAUUAAGCUUUCCAAUGCCCAAGAAAAGGAAGAAAAGAAAAAGAAACUGCCACAGCUUAUUUUAAAAAUAAAAGUGGGCUCUCUUUUUAAAAUAUUAAUUUUAUAGUACCUUAUCUGGUAACCAAAAUAUUUUUAAAUAUUCUGAUGCUAUUAUAGUAUAAUCAUUCUUUAAUAAUUUUGUAGAUUUCACUUUACUGAACAAAGCCCUAAACAAAAACAUUGAAUAUGACAAAAACUUGCAUAAGUUUAUUUCAUACUGAAGACAUAUAUGCUAUAGAUUUGUAGAAAUACUUCCCACUUGGUUACUUGCUUAUGUUAUGAGUUUUUACCUACAGAAACUUGCUUUUUUUCUUGUAAAAUUUAGAUUAAUUUCUUUGGUAUGUUUUCCUACUGCUUUAAAACUUCAGAAUUCCUUUUUUCAUAGAACUUUUCUAUUUUCACUUAGAAACAUUCAGAACUUAUGUUAGUGUGUGAUUUGAGGUGGUUUUUGUGUUGACUUUGUUUCCUACCUUGUUAGCUAUUUUUUCUAUGCCAUUGUGGAAUAAUUUGUUAAUUUUCAGUGGAUUCAUAAUGCCUUUAAAAAAUAAGGUUGUGUUCUCAGAGGUGAUAAAUUUUAUUUAUUUAUGAUGCUCCAUCUAUGUUAAGGCUAUUUGUAAGUCUAUGUGUAUGGUAGGAUUUUAGUUCUACACUGCAUCUUACACAGGUUAGUAAAAUAUAGCACAUUUAUUAAUUAUUUAGAGUAUAGGAUUACGUAUUGAUAAGUACAAGCUAUUGAGCCUUCCCAUGUCCUAGGCACUUUGCUGAAUUUUAAUCCUUAUCACAACUCAAUGGGAUAGAUACUGUUGUCAUCUUUUGUAGACAUGGGUUUAUUAUAGCUAUUUUAAAAUGAGUUAGCAAAUUCAAAUUUCAAAAAUUCUAUUUUUAUUUCUAAUAUGGUAAAUAUUGAUAAAUAAAAUUUAUAUAAACAAAUAUUUUGAUGUACUCAGUAACCCAUAAGGGUAUAUAAGAGCCCUGAAAUGAAAAAGUUUGAGAACUGCUUAUAAGCCCUAUAUAAUUAUUAGGUAUUAAUAUCAUUAUUAAUUUUUGAAUCUAUAUUCAAAUAUAGUUAUCAUAAAAUGAACUUCAUAUAUGUAAGUGUAUACUUUGAUGUGUUUUGACAUAUGUAUAUUAUAAUGAAGCCAUCAUCAUAAUUAAGAUAAUAAACAUAUCCAUCACUCUCAGAG
This 4680-nucleotide long non-coding RNA is filed under the name Homo sapiens (human). RNAcentral's name for it is "HSALNT0022341". The record is from RNAcentral. Lineage: Eukaryota; Metazoa; Chordata; Mammalia; Primates; Hominidae.